Molecule: long non-coding RNA, 418 nt
Organism: Paramisgurnus dabryanus
Lineage: Eukaryota; Metazoa; Chordata; Actinopteri; Cypriniformes; Cobitidae
Source: RefSeq, a predicted model, not a curated record
AGUCUAAUUGUAUUGUCUAUAAUUAACAGGGUGGCCCUCUACAGCUAGGAGGAAUUGAUUGUGGGGUAUUUAUGUUGAUGUCAAGUCCCACAACUACUCACCCAGAAAGUAACAUAUGCAGAUAACAUGAAAUUCACUCCACCUGAGUCAGAUGUCAUGGAGAUCAUCCAGACACCAGAAGUAGAUCACACAGGACUCAGCGGUGAUGAGAAACAUUCAGCUGACCUGUGAGUGGGUAAAGGAGACCACUUGCUGGGAAGAUGAGCUGCAAAAGAUCUAAAGGAUGAUGGCCUGUUGGCUAUAACAAUGUGGGACUUGUUUAUAAACACCAUGUUUUAUGAGGGUGAAAGGAAUGAAGAAGAAAUUUCGACUCCCUUACCUUUUAUAUUUUAGAGAAGAGCAGGAGAUAUAUGAGACA